UAUAGGAGCCUGCUUGUUUGUGUGCGCAAGCGUAGGAAAAGAAAAGAAAAGAAAAGAAAAGAAAAGAAAAGAAAAGAAAAGAAAAGAAAGUGUAAACCUGUGUGGUUUUGGUUUGUUUGAAUGUUUUGUGUCACAGGUAAACAGCUUAGUUUUCCUGUUUUAUAGAUAACACCAGAGAGAUAUCCAGUAAGGUUAUUUUAACAUUCCGAGAUGGCAACCUACAGUACAAAACUGGACCAUGGAAAAACAUGUUAUUGAAUGCUGAUGAAAAAAAGCAGCUAGGAAUGUCCCUGAAUGAACAAAUUACAAGUCCUUACAUGUUCUCUGACUAAUAAAAAAUGGAGGGACCAGUCUAUUUGCUGCUCUGUAUUUCACAUUGGAAUGCCAGGUUUAGGCGCCCUGCUGGUUCACAAUGAUAGUUCCGGUAUCCUGGAGGUAGAACAGCAGCUGCUUACCUGGUUGGAGAAAACUUAUUGUCCCAGAAACGUCCAUAUUGAGCAGUUUGAUAGAAUGCCAGACAUCUUGACACAAGUUCACUUGUUCCCAUUUCAAGCUCAGCAAUGGCCGACUUUACUUUGUCAAUCAGCAUGGAUUUGAAAAAUCAAUAAAUGAACUCUUAAGAAAUAUAAAGUUGUGAUUUUAUUGACACAUUUAACCUAAACAUGAAAAAAUAAAAUCACUUUAUGAGUGUUUGUUUUUUUCUCCCUUUUAUGAACUUUGACAAAAAAAAAUAAAAUAAAAAAUUAACAGGUGCUGUUAUCUGAAAGCGAAAUGUAAUUUUGUGAUGUGUUAUGACAUGUAUUUUCAUUGUAACUGUCAAUUAAAAGAAAUAUACCUCAUGUUACGGGCAUUGUACCCACUUUUUUGGGGUGGGACGGUUAGGAGGUUGGUAGUUUACCAUAAAAUCCAAUUUAGCAAAAAUCACAUUUUCCUGCUGUUUGUGUAAAAUAUUAUUUUUGAUAUUUUGACAUUCUGACUUCAUUGCCCUGAAUCUAUUGUCUCUUUGCAUUCUGGCUUGCACAGAUAUAGCAUAUUUGUUGGGAUUGGUCAACAUAAUCAUAUAGCUAGGUUUGCAAAAUCUGAUCC
This is a long non-coding RNA of Acipenser ruthenus (sterlet), 1086 nucleotides long. RefSeq lists it as uncharacterized. NCBI's taxonomy places the organism in Eukaryota, Metazoa, Chordata, Actinopteri, Acipenseriformes, Acipenseridae. The record is from RefSeq and is a predicted model, not a curated record. The transcript is spliced from 5 exons.